UCCGGCUUAUCACCGGCGGUUUCUUUAGAGUGCCCAACUAAAUGAUGGCAACUAAAGACGAGGGUUGCGCUCGUUGCGGGACUUAACCCAACAUCUCACGACACGAGCUGACGACAGCCAUGCAGCACCUGUUACUCAUCCAGCCGAACUGAAGGAAAUCAUCUCUGAAAUCCGCGAUGAGGAUGUCAAACGCUGGAGGAAGGUGGGGAUGACGUAGUACACCUGAAC
RNAcentral lists this unclassified non-coding RNA (228 nucleotides) under uncultured Sphingomonadaceae bacterium. RNAcentral's name for it is "contains 16S-23S intergenic spacer region". The record is from RNAcentral. Lineage: Bacteria; Pseudomonadati; Pseudomonadota; Alphaproteobacteria; Sphingomonadales; Sphingomonadaceae.